GACGAACGCUGGCGGCGUGCUUAACACAUGCAAGUCGAACGGAAAGGCCCUUCUUUUGUGGGGUGCUCGAGUGGCGAACGGGUGAGUAACACGUGAGUAACCUGCCCUUGACUUUGGGAUAACUUCAGGAAACUGGGGCUAAUACCGGAUAGGAGCUCCUGCGGCAUGGUUGGGGUUGGAAAGUUUCGGCGGUUGGGGAUGGACUCGCGGCUUAUCAGCUUGUUGGUGGGGUAGUGGCUUACCAAGGCUUUGACGGGUAGCCGGCCUGAGAGGGUGACCGGCCACAUUGGGACUGAGAUACGGCCCAGACUCCUACGGGAGGCAGCAGUGGGGAAUAUUGCACAAUGGGCGGAAGCCUGAUGCAGCAACGCCGCGUGCGGGAUGACGGCCUUCGGGUUGUAAACCGCUUUCGCCUGUGACGAAGCGUGAGUGACGGUAAUGGGUAAAGAAGCACCGGCUAACUACGUG
This 468-nucleotide ribosomal RNA is filed under the name uncultured bacterium. RNAcentral's name for it is "partial 16S ribosomal RNA". It matches the Rfam family "Bacterial small subunit ribosomal RNA", at positions 28 to 507 of the family's 1533-position model. The record is from RNAcentral.